RNAcentral lists this ribosomal RNA (424 nucleotides) under uncultured prokaryote. RNAcentral describes it as "bacterial SSU rRNA". It matches the Rfam family "Bacterial small subunit ribosomal RNA", at positions 355 to 796 of the family's 1533-position model. The record is from RNAcentral.
UGGGGAAUCUUGGGCAAUGGGCGCAAGCCUGACCCAGCCAUGCCGCGUGUGUGAAGAAGGCCUUAGGGUUGUAAAACCCUUUCAGCGGGGAAGAUGAUGACGGUACCCGCAGAAGAAGCCCCGGCUAACUCCGUGCCAGCAGCCGCGGUAAUACGGAGGGGGCUAGCGUUGUUCGGAAUUACUGGGCGUAAAGGGCGUGUAGGCGGUUUGCCGAGUCAGGCGUGAAAGCCCCGGGCUUAACCUGGGAACUGCGUUUGAUACUGGCAGGCUAGAGGUUGGAAGAGGAGAGUGGAAUUCCCAGUGUAGAGGUGAAAUUCGUAGAUAUUGGGAAGAACACCAGUGGCGAAGGCGGCUCUCUGGUCCAGACCUGACGCUGAGGCGCGAAAGCGUGGGGAGCAAACAGGAUUAGAUACCCGUGUAGUCC